AGCGAGGUGUGAGUGUCG
RNAcentral lists this small nuclear RNA (18 nucleotides) under Arabidopsis thaliana (thale cress). RNAcentral's name for it is "snRNA_01170". The record is from RNAcentral. Lineage: Eukaryota; Viridiplantae; Streptophyta; Magnoliopsida; Brassicales; Brassicaceae.